UGAGGGAAUAUUGGGUCAAUGGGCGGAAGCCUGAACCAGCCAAGUAGCGUGAGGGAUGACUGCCCUAUGGGUUGUAAACCUCUUUUAUAAGGGAAUAAAAUACGGGACGUGUCCUGUUUUGCAUGUACCUUAUGAAUAAGGACCGGCUAACUACGUGCCAGCAGCCGCGGUAAUACGUAGGGGGCAAGCGUUAUCCGGAUUUACUGGGUGUAAAGGGAGCGCAGGCGGUCCUGCAAGUCUGAUGUGAAAGCCCGGGGCUCAACCCCGGGACUGCAUUGGAAACUGUGGGACUUGAGUGUCGGAGGGGCAAGUGGAAUUCCUAGUGUAGCGGUGAAAUGCGUAGAUAUUAGGAGGAACACCAGUGGCGAAGGCGGCUUGCUGGACGACAACUGACGCUGAGGCUCGAAAGCGUGGGGAGCAAACAGGAUUAGAUACCCUGGUAGU
RNAcentral lists this ribosomal RNA (444 nucleotides) under uncultured Lachnospiraceae bacterium. Its description in RNAcentral is "bacterial SSU rRNA". It matches the Rfam family "Bacterial small subunit ribosomal RNA", at positions 354 to 794 of the family's 1533-position model. Lineage: Bacteria; Bacillati; Bacillota; Clostridia; Lachnospirales; Lachnospiraceae. The record is from RNAcentral.